UAGAGUUGUAAAACUCCCAACCCAUGUGAACAUACCUCUGUUGCCUCGGUGGCCUACCCGGCGGCUAUUUACUUAGCUACCCUGUAGUCCGCCGAAGGAAUACUAAACUCUAAAUCCUUUAUGAAUCGUGUCCUAUGUCUAAAUCAUGAUUAAAAAUCAAAACA
Molecule: unclassified non-coding RNA, 164 nt
Filed under: uncultured Fusidium
Lineage: Eukaryota; Fungi; Ascomycota; Sordariomycetes; Hypocreales; Nectriaceae
Description: sequence contains ITS1
Source: RNAcentral